This is a long non-coding RNA of Acinonyx jubatus (cheetah), 834 nucleotides long. RefSeq lists it as uncharacterized. The transcript has 2 exons. Lineage: Eukaryota; Metazoa; Chordata; Mammalia; Carnivora; Felidae. The record is from RefSeq and is a predicted model, not a curated record.
UCCGCUUCCCACAGGCCCCGCGCGGCCGUCCGACCCCGCAGCCAAUCGCGCGGCCGCUUACUCAAACCGCCGCGCAGGCGCUGCUCCCCGCAUGCUCCGGCGCCCGCCAUUGGCCCGGCCGCAGCGCCCGACGGGAGUUGUAGUCCGGCUUCGCGAGGGCGCUAUACUCGCGGCUAGGCGCGGGAGCCGGCGGCGGGAGGAGCGGUUGUGGCGGGCUUUGCCCGCCCGGGCUCGGGAGCCCGUUGCAGCUCCUGACCACGCCGGGAGACGCAGGUGCCGCCAGGGAGGGCCGGGGGCGCAGUGCAGGCAGCUGUGUCAAUCGUUUCCCCUCCAGGGACUCGCCCGUGUCUAGGGACGGUGGGUUGUGCAGCUGCGCCAGGCCUGCUGGAGCCGCGGCCUGGGAGCGCGGAGGCGCGGAGUUCGCGGCUGGGAACCGCCCUCUACCCGGCCUGGCGAGUGCUGGCCCGACGCAGGCUGCCCUCCUGCGUGCUGCCUGGAGGAGGGUAGAAUCUCCACUACCUUGAGCUCCAUCCACUCAGGUGGACUCAUCCUUUGCUUCAGUAGAAGAAAGAAAAUCCUGCCAGGAAAACUAAUAGAAGAAUCUGUUGUGCCAUUGUUGGGUCUCUGUUGCAGCCAGGCCAUGAGAACUGUCAGAACUGGAAUUGCUAAGUAGAACUGUGUAAUCUUUUUCUGACAAUGUGUAGUACAAUGUAUCACAACUUUCAAAAUUCACUUCAGAGAGCUUGAAGUCAGAAAUGUCCACACUGGUUACAGGAAAUGUUUCCUUGUUUUAGGAUGGGGAAUCAGAAUUUAUAAUAAAAAUUAUAAAUCAUA